Long non-coding RNA from Esox lucius (northern pike), 467 nucleotides. RefSeq lists it as uncharacterized. The record is from RefSeq and is a predicted model, not a curated record. NCBI's taxonomy places the organism in Eukaryota, Metazoa, Chordata, Actinopteri, Esociformes, Esocidae. The transcript is spliced from 3 exons.
CUUUACUGCUUUGUAUUAACAAAAUCACAUGGGGCUUUCUUGGGGUGUCUUUUCGCCAUGAUCAGAGUAAUAAAACUUUUUUCUUUUGCAGGUACUUGUCGGUCAUCGGAUUUGUCAUCAAUAUCGACGUGUGAUGCUGAUGAUUUCUGAACUGCUUGGAGCUCCUAUUUAAUUCAAUCAGAGCAUCAGGCGGCUGGAAUAACAAUCCAUCUUCCGCCGGCUGAUGGUUCGGUGUGGUGUCUCACCUGGUGAGACAGGCAAUGUGGCAGCCCAGGAUAACACUGUGUCCCUGUCUGCUGUGGAGUUGUCCUCUCCUGAAACUGCGGAAGAGCACCCAUCUCCAUUCGCCAACAUUUGGCCCUUGUGUGUGACCACAGUUAUCUCCCCACUCGGUUUGGUGGUCUGGUGGAAAAUGCUCUGGUCUACAUAGCAGGGUGCUGAGAGCUGCAGAGGGGGUGAUCCGCCAA